Malus domestica (apple) is the source of this 2569-nucleotide non-coding RNA. The record is from RefSeq and is a predicted model, not a curated record. Lineage: Eukaryota; Viridiplantae; Streptophyta; Magnoliopsida; Rosales; Rosaceae.
GCUCCUUUUGUUGUACGUCUCUCUGUCUCUCUCAAUUCACAAAUGCACAAUAUUUUCUUUUUUUGGGUAUUUUGAGGCUAAGUUUUAAUUUUUCACACAUCCCUUGGUUCGGGUUAGGAUCCCGUACCGAAACUGAUAACCCAAAUCUCAAACCAAUUCAUUUCUGGACGGGAUCUCAAAAUCGAAACUGAACCAAAAUACAAAUCCAAAUUCAAAUCCUAGAACCCAAUUUUCACACACCCUAGAAAUCUAAUUUUAAUUCAAACAAAAUUGCAUCAACCAGAGAAAAUUAGUUCGAACCAAUCCGGUGCUGCUUUCGAUUCUGAUACUAAUGAGUUUGUGAUUAGGGCCAUCUCUUUCCUACUCCUUCCUGCUUGCUGGAUACGCUGAACCUGAUUUGCUUGUUGUUUGUAUGGUGGCUGGAGCGAGAUGAGAGGGUAUGGUGAGGUGGUCGGAGUCGAGACUCGGCGGAGGUGGUGGUGGCUAGGUUCGAGAUCCACUAACGGAGUGGUGGUGGCUAGGUUCGAGAUCCACCGACAGAGUGGUGCUGGUGGCUGGGCUUGAGAUCGAGCGAAGGAGAAUUAGAAACGAGGACUGACAGACGAAGAAUUAGGGAGGAGUCGAGAGAAGAGAGAGAGAGCAGUCGAGAGAGAGGUCAAGAAAGGUUAGGGUUAAUUAUAAAUGAAAGGUUGAGAUUAAUCUCAACCAAAUUCAACGGCUUAUAAUAAUUAAAAUUAUAUAUUUAAUUAUAUAUAAAAAUUGUUCGGUUCGGUUCGGAAUUUUCGAACGAAGGCAGGUUGAAUACCAAAAUCCGUACCAAAACUUUCGGUUCUGGUUCGAUAUGGGUAACCGAUCUGUUCGGGAUUUGUCGGUUGGGAAUUUUUCGGCCGGGAUCGGGAAAUUUUGGAAUGUUUUUUCCAGCCCUAGAAACAAUCAUCCCAUUAAAACGAUGAAAACGGCAUCCUUUUCCCCUCCAUAGGAAACACCCAUCAUUGCUCCCAACAACAAUCGUUUUCAACCUUGGAAACCUGAGCUUCCUCUCCUUGUAAGAUUCUCCCCCCUUCCCACAAUCCCAUUCCAUUCCCUUUCCUUUCCAUCCCUCAACUCCUUCCAAUCCUCCCAUCAUUUAAAUUCAAAUACCACCCUCUCUUUUUACUCCACGCACCAAAAGAAAAGGAAAACAAGCUGAAACAUGGAUGAUCCUUCCUCCACCAACUCUGUCAAUGGCUUCUUUUCCUUCCUGGCUCGUGGGGUGGACGAUCUCGAAAGGGUCUAUCUUUCCAGCAACUUCAUGUCAAUCCAAUUCCUUCAAAGGGUUCUUACCCUUCUUCGAUCUUUCCACUCCCAGCUGAACCUUCUUGUCCAAAAGCUCCAUCUGCCUGUUGGGGACAAGUGGCUUGACGAGUACAUGGACGAAAGCUCCAAGCUUUGGGAAGCCUGCCAUGUCCUCAAAUCCGCCGUCUCUGCCAUGGAGAAUUUCUACACCUCCGGCCACGCCAUCACCUCCACCCUCCUCGACUCUCACCAUCUCACUCCUCAGCUCUCCCGCCAGGUGGUGCGCGCGAUUUCUCGGUGGCGGCGGGAAGCGUUUGGAUUGGAGGAAGAGAACAGAGCGCUGAUGGGAACGAGAAUCCAACCACUCUCACUGAAAUUCGACGAAAGGGUCGCCGUCGAAUCGAAGCUUAAUGGGUUCAGCGGGUUCAGGGGAGUCCUGUACGCAAUGAGAAACGUGAGCUCUCUGCUUCUGAUGAUCUUGCUGUACGGACUGGUCUUCUGCUCGCCGGAGGACUCAACUUUUGCAGGGAAGGAGACGACGACUACGAGGGCUGCAUGAUCUUCGGAUCACCGUUCAUGAUAUCGACGGCCAGACUGCAGCAGAGGGUGGCGGCGGAGAUCGGGCAGAUGAGCGAGAGGCCUGGGAUUCUGGUGUGGGAGUUCAGGAGGUCGAAGGCAGCGAUGGAGGAGCUGAGAGGUGAACUGGAGGAGAGGAGGGGCUCACAGGGAGGAGUGAUGGAUUGGGAGAGUGGGAUUAGAGAGAGAGUGGAGCAUCUGAGAGAGUGUUUUGGGGGGUUGACUUCUGGUUCUGAGAAUAUUGUGAGCCAACUUGAUGAUUUGUUUGAUGAAAUUGUUGAGGGGAGGAAGAAGCUGUUGGACUUUUGCAGUCACAGGUAAAAACACAAAAAAAAGAGUAGUUGGAAAAAAAAAAAAAAAAAAAAAAAUUUACGUAGUAUAUGUCCUCUUGUUUUUGGCGCCUCAUGUUUUUAGCAGUUGAUAUAGAGGUUGCUAAGUUUGUUGUGUAAUGGUGUGCUUUUUCUUAAAACUCAAGUUCGAAUGGCUCGUUCUGUAAUUUAAACUAGAUUAUGAUCGAAUAUUCUCAUAUCGAAAGAGGAUAAAAAGUUACCAGUUCCGGAUGUGCGUCAAGUCAUUAGGUCAAUGUGUACUUGAACGUCAUCCUCUUUCACUAGAUUUAAAGUAUUUGGAGAAACUUUCAACUCCGUCUUGUAAAAUAGAAUUCAUUAUUAAUUAUUAUUAUAUUUUAUUUUUGGCAAGUGUUGGGACUGCCUAGUAA